UACAGAGGUCCCGAGCGUUGUUCGGAUUCAUUGGGCGUAAAGGGUGCGUAGGUGGCGCUGUAAGUGGGGUGUGAAAUCCCGGGGCUUAACCCCGGGACUGCAUUCCAUACUGCGGUGCUUGAGGACUGGAGAGGAGACUGGAAUUUACGGUGUAGCAGUGAAAUGCGUAGAGAUCGUAAGGAAGACCAGUGGCGAAGGCGGGUCUCUGGACAGUUCCUGACACUGAGGCACGAAGGCCAGGGAGCAAACGGG
RNAcentral lists this ribosomal RNA (252 nucleotides) under uncultured bacterium. RNAcentral's name for it is "partial 16S ribosomal RNA". It matches the Rfam family "Bacterial small subunit ribosomal RNA", at positions 524 to 776 of the family's 1533-position model. The record is from RNAcentral.